Molecule: long non-coding RNA, 231 nt
Filed under: Elaeis guineensis (African oil palm)
Lineage: Eukaryota; Viridiplantae; Streptophyta; Magnoliopsida; Arecales; Arecaceae
Description: long non-coding RNA (EGUI_LNC007361)
Source: RNAcentral
GUCGGUAAAUGGAUGCCAGUCUGUUUUUUCCAACAGUUGCCCCCCACUUCUGAGUCCAAAUGGUGAGUUAUCAUGUGUGUAGCUAUGUGAUCGAUCACUUUGGAUGAAAGGAGUGGUUAUCCGUCAUGUCGAGUCUCAAUUUUAUUGCCAUAUUCUCCGAAAUACGGACGAUCAUCCCCUUUGUUAUUCUUGAACUGUCGUAUCGACAGAGAGAUCCGGUGUCAGGCGUCA